This 2896-nucleotide long non-coding RNA is filed under the name Nicotiana tabacum (common tobacco). RNAcentral's name for it is "long non-coding RNA (NTAB_LNC005771)". The record is from RNAcentral. Lineage: Eukaryota; Viridiplantae; Streptophyta; Magnoliopsida; Solanales; Solanaceae.
UGAGUCAUACAUCGUUUAUAACAAAUUUAUUGUAAGAACAGAUAAUACACAAGUAAAAUGGUGGAUAACACGGAAAGUGCAAGAUUCAGUAACAACGAAGGAAAUAAGAAGGCUUGUAUUAAAUAUACAAAAUUUUACAUUUACAAUUGAGGUAAUAAGGACUGAAAAAAAUAUUAUUGCAGACUACCUAUCAAGAAAAAGGUACCCAAACUGAUGACAGACAAGAAACAAAAGAUUUAUUUGCAAUCCUUACUACUCUAUCUUUACAGAUGGAUAGUAUGGAUAAAAGAUUACAACAGCUAGAGGAAAGCAAGCCAAGUCAGCAGCAUGACUAUAAAGAUGCGGAGCUAAGUCGAUCGGAAGACUCAAAAUUUCCAGAGUUAGAGGGAGACGUUGGGAAACUCCGUAAAACCCAUAACAAUGUUUGUUUACAUACACCUGCAGGUAUGAGUAAACAAGUUAAUAAGAAACCAUAUACCAAUGCCAAUUUGAAUAACAUAUUUGAUAAACCAAUUACUCCAAAAAUACCAAAAGAAAUAAUGACUACAACACCACAAACCUCAACCUAUGCAAACAGUCUACACCAAAAUAAGAAAAUAUACAACUAUAUUACCCAGACCUAUAUUGAAAACAUAUACAAAAUCCAAACAUUUCUAAACCUUAACCCCAGAGCAACUACUACAACAAAUCAAACACAAGACUACACAACCCAAAAACUCCAAGGAUAUAAUAGACUUAUUGCCCAACCAAAAACCAGAUCCAAUCUAGUAAAAACAUGCUACAAUUACGCAUUACUUAGCACAGUAUAUACCUAUGAUGGAGAAGAAAUAAGUGGAAUACCAGAGAUAUAUAAAACAUUUAUUACAUAUAAAAGAAUUACAAAAGGAAACCUAUUUUUUAUAAAAUUCUAUACAGCACCAGCUGAGAUACUAUACGAUGAAAUAAAACCUCUUAUACAGGUUGUAAAAAUAGGAUUGACACGAGAUAUGAUAAUACCAGAAGAGAUAGAACAACAACCAGAGAUACCAUAAAUCGAGAUACCGAGAUUUAUAACUAUACUUUCAUCAAUCCUAUCGCAAUAAGUCAUUCUGUUUUUAGUUCAUUAUCAUUGUCAUAGAAGUAUAAUCACAGAUUUUUUGCUUUUUGGUUCACAGAAAAUAGAUCAUCUAUGAAAUGAUACAUUUGUCUUUGAACUCUAAAGGUAUAACUACCAUAAUUUCUUCUCGCUAAAUCUUUGUUGUAGCUCAUGCCAAGUGAUGUAAAUGCAAAGAUAUUAUUGUAUGUUCUAAUGUAUGUGCGAAAGAGUUAAGAUUCCUCAGUAUUUGCUAAUAUAAAUUACGCAAUUCUAUGGGUAUUUUGUGUGUAGUUAAGAUAACUGGACCAUUGCUACAACAAAAUAUAUUAGGUUCAAAUUGAAAUUUCUUAGCUCGACAAAACUUGCAACGUGAAAUUAGUUUUAGUGGGAUGUAUUCUGAUCGCAUUUGGCUAAUGGUUAUGUUGCCUGUUUUAUUUAUAUUUGGACCUGCAACUUCCAAUAUGUCAGAAUGAAUAAAGGAAGGAAAGCUAGAUUGGUAAGAAAUAAUAUUGCAACAUACACCAACCUUUAUUCAGAAUAGUGUAAGAACUCUGAUUUUGUUCAUUAGCCGUACCAGACGUUGACCCUAGUAGCAUAUAAUUUUAGGAUAAAUAUAAUUAAAUAUUUUCUUAAUUAAACAAUGGUAAAAACUUUUUGCAUAGAGGAUUGUACUUGCCUACUUCAAAUAUUGAGGAUGGGUGGGCAGAAUUUUUUGCCCUAUCAUAGUAGGCUGCCAACAUAGUGGCGCGAUGCAUAUUAGCUAAUAAUUGCAAUACAAAAUGUGGCUAAUGUCAAAGUAUAACCAAAUAAGCUUGACAAAGUAAGCGUAUUUAUCAGAAGAUAUAUAUGAACAUGUAGAAAAUUCUACACAAAGGCAGAAAACACAUAUGCUUAGUAUUCUAACCUAUUUCAGAUGACAAUGCAGAUGCAGUGGAUUUUUUGCUCGUAGUCGGUGUUUUGGUAGUAGAGCAUGUUUUUUAGUGGAUUCCAUUUGCUUAUACGUCUCAUGCUAUCUGAAAUUCAUUUAUGCGUUUCGUUCUGCCAAAUAGGAAGAACUGUUUUUGUUCUGAGAAUGCAUCUGCUUCAAUGUAGUUUCUAUCUCCAAUUAUCUGUAGUUGAGGCCAAGUUUGAUAAGAAUCAAUAUCCACCACAUGGAAAAGAGAGAGUAAAUAUUCUAAAGUACCAAAAUAAGGAAAUAACAACAGUAAAAUGGAGACAUCAAUAAUUCUAUCUUCCUAAAUCAAUGUUGUUGGAGCAAAAUUAGUACCUAUUACAAAUUGACCCAAAUCCGUAGCAAAAUUUUGAAAUUACAGAGCAUGUCUCGCAAUUGAAAUUUUCAAAGAGGUAUUGUUUGGUGAAGCGCAAAAGAAGACCAAAUACCCCGAAAUAAGUUCAAAUGCAAACAAGAGGGGAAUAAGAGUGGAACAUGAUGACAGAACGUGAGUAUAGUAAUCAAGCAGAGCAGAGAAAUAAAGAGGGGAAAAUAAGUGCAUCAACCAGAGAACAACUGUGCUCACCAAAAGGGAAAAAGGUCACAGAGGCACAACAACUAAAACUGAAAGUGAAUCGAAGGACAUAGACGCAGAAAGAAGAUUGAAAGAAAGUUUCCGAGAAAAAAUGCAGAUGAAAGUUUCAUGUUAAAUUGCAUGAAGAUAAGAAUACAAAGCCACCAUUUCGUUGGUGAGAAAUGUCUUAGUAAGUCCUCAUCAUAAAGUGUUUCUUAUCUUUUUUCAAGGAUAAAACUGGCACAUAGACAAUAUAAAUAUCUAUUAUAGUUCCACUUGUGCAAAUAAAGUCACAUGUGUUGUGCCAUAAAGUCAC